This 664-nucleotide long non-coding RNA is filed under the name Brassica rapa (field mustard). RNAcentral's name for it is "long non-coding RNA (BRAP_LNC002794)". The record is from RNAcentral. Lineage: Eukaryota; Viridiplantae; Streptophyta; Magnoliopsida; Brassicales; Brassicaceae.
AAAUUACAUUUGUCAAAAAUAAGCACAAUCAAUCAAAGCCCAAGAUUAAAAUCUAUCUCGGUAGAAUUUACAAACGUAUACAUUGUACACAUAUAUACAUAUAGUAGAUACCUCUUAUUUGAAAACACAUAAUAUUAUAAUUCACAAAUCUUUACUUCUUUUAAAUUGGAAUUUAAUAUAAUAAAAAUUGUGCUUUUAGAAUACGACUAAAUCAGUUAUUUAUCAAAUACAAGACAAAUUGUACAAAAAAAAUUAAGUUUUGGCAUAUAAAUUGAGAACGAAAACCGAACUGAAAUAACAUAAAAAAAAAAAACAAAACUAAAUCAGUGUUAACAAAUACAUUAAUAGUUCAUAUAUCGAUGAAACAGAAAAUUCUAAACCAAAUUGAAUCUAAACCGAAAACUGAAUGGAUACCUGAAUAUCUUAAAUACAGUUUAUACACCUUAAAAUAUUAAUUAGCUUUAGUUCAAAAAUUAUCAAAUAUUCUAAUACUAAUACUUAUAACUGAACAACCCAAAAAUGGAUUACUCUAUUACUUUUUAUUCGAGAUAUUUAAAAUUUUCGUAAUUUCCCGGGAAUAAAAUAUUCGAAAUAUUUAAAUUUAUCCGAGUUAUUCGAUAUUGUAUAAAACAAAAUCCAAAAUGUGAUUUUACCCGAAUUAUUC